The sequence is a ribosomal RNA, 436 nucleotides long. It matches the Rfam family "Bacterial small subunit ribosomal RNA", at positions 341 to 792 of the family's 1533-position model.
ACGGAAGGCAGCAGUGGGGAAUAUUGGGCAAUGGGCGCAAGCCUGACCCAGCAACGCCGCGUGAAGGAAGAAGGCUUUCGGGUUGUAAACUUCUUUUAAGGGGGAAGAGCAGAAGACGGUACCCCUAGAAUAAGCCACGGCUAACUACGUGCCAGCAGCCGCGGUAAUACGUAGGUGGCAAGCGUUGUCCGGAUUUACUGGGUGUAAAGGGCGUGUAGCCGGGUCGGCAAGUCAGAUGUGAAAUCCACGGGCUCAACUCGUGAACUGCAUUUGAAACUGUUGAUCUUGAGUAUCGGAGGGGCAAUCGGAAUUCCUAGUGUAGCGGUGAAAUGCGUAGAUAUUAGGAGGAACACCAGUGGCGAAGGCGGAUUGCUGGACGACAACUGACGGUGAGGCGCGAAAGUGUGGGGAGCAAACAGGAUUAGAUACCCUGGUA